Apodemus sylvaticus (European woodmouse) is the source of this 516-nucleotide long non-coding RNA. RefSeq lists it as uncharacterized. The record is from RefSeq and is a predicted model, not a curated record. NCBI's taxonomy places the organism in Eukaryota, Metazoa, Chordata, Mammalia, Rodentia, Muridae. The transcript is spliced from 4 exons.
CUGUUCAUAUACACUUUCAGUUUCUUAUUUAUUUUGUGAAAAUACCUCAUUUCUAAUCUCAAAAGGCACAUUUUGAAGCUUAUCAGCAACGACUUGAACCAGGAGAAGAGAGGUCCUGUGAAGCCUGACAAGUGAGAAGCAUCUGGACAAAAGGGAAAAGGCUCUAGCAAUCUUCUGCUGUUUUAAAAUGAGGUCCUUAAUGCCAGAGACUGCAGCUUCUGGUCUCAGAGGAAUUCAGACAGGAAGCUUACCUUCAAGAGAGAACCAAGAAAGAGGAACAGCCAAAGAUGGCCUCUGGCAACAAGGGGGAAAAAAAAAGAAAUGUCCUUAAGGAAUCUGCCAUAUACAAAUGCAAAUACCAUUUUACUUCCAAAAACUAACGACUCGACUCGAAAACAUGACCAUUUUACCCUUUGGGAUUCUUGACUCAAGUAGUUUUCUAACUAUUUGAAUAACUGAGUACUAUCUUCACAUCUUGGCGUUUCACUUCUUGGAAAUAAUGGGCCCACUAAUUUC